AAUGCUUAGGAAUCUGCCUAUUAGUGGGGGACAACAUUCCGAAAGGAAUGCUAAUACCGCAUACGCCCUACGGGGGAAAGCAGGGGAUCUUCGGACCUUGCGCUAAUAGAUGAGCCUAAGUCAGAUUAGCUAGUUGGUGGGGUAAAGGCCUACCAAGGCGACGAUCUGUAGCGGGUCUGAGAGGAUGAUCCGCCACACUGGGACUGAGACACGGCCCAGACUCCUACGGGAGGCAGCAGUGGGGAAUAUUGGACAAUGGGCGAAAGCCUGAUCCAGCCAUGCCGCGUGUGUGAAGAAGGCCUUUUGGUUGUACAGCACUUUAAGCGAGGAGGAGGCUACUGAGAUUAAUACUCUUGGAUAGUGGACGUUACUCGCAGAAUAAGCACCGGCUAACUCUGUGCCAGCAGCCGCGGUAAUACAGAGGGUGCGAGCGUUAAUCGGAUUUACUGGGCGUAAAGCGUGCGUAGGCGGCUUUUUAAGUCGGAUGUGAAAUCCCUGAGCUUAACUUAGGAAUUGCAUUCGAUACUGGGAAGCUAGAGUAUGGGAGAGGAUGGUAGAAUUCCAGGUGUAGCGGUGAAAUGCGUAGAGAUCUGGAGG
Molecule: ribosomal RNA, 597 nt
Filed under: uncultured bacterium
Lineage: Bacteria
Description: bacterial SSU rRNA
Rfam family: Bacterial small subunit ribosomal RNA
Source: RNAcentral